UUUGGAUGAAAAAUAAUUAUAAUCCAUAAACUAAUCCCACAACAAACCUACCUUUUAAUUCCUAUUCCUAAUCACAAAGAAAUAACAACAAAUUUGGGAUUUUGAACACCAAAAACAACUUGAUGCAUCAUCACAAACACUUUUAGCCAAAUAAAUCUACCAUCAAAUCAACAUAUUAUUAUUAUUGCUGUACAAGAAGAGCAAACAACUGAAGAAGCAGUUACCGUCUUCCUAAAAACAUCAUUCUGAUUUGGGCACAGUAACCACCAGCUCUCCGUCACUAAAAACGGCCGUCGCAAGCUCCGGCAGCGUAGCAGGCGGAAGUCGAAACCGCCACACCUUGAGCUCCACUUCAUUAAUCGCAAAAUCAGCGAUGAAACGCACACCUCUAACAACAAUUUUAGUAACACCUGGAACAAUCUCAAUGGUGUGAGCCGUGACGUCAGAGCCGACGUCAUCGUCCGUAUCGACGACGAAUCUGAAGGAAUUAGCGGUUUCCUGAACCGACACAUCGGCGAAUGGGAGCUCCAGGACUUUAGCGAAGAUGUGUGGGAGUCGCCGGAGCUUUUUUUGACGGCCGUUAGCGGCGGUUGUGUCGUAACGGAGUGUGAUGUUUCGAUUGGACGGAGAUGGAUGAACUUUCAUGGUUCAGGAGAUUUGAAAGGCUAGGGUUAGGGUUUGUAAUUGGGGAUGAUUGAGAUUGGAUUGGGGAAAUGUGAAGGAUAGAUUUUAUUUAAAAUUUUGUAAAACAAAAUUUAUUUAUUUAAAUAAAAAUUGAGUGCGUUACAUGGAAAGUGACCAUCCCCAACAAUCGUGA
This 817-nucleotide long non-coding RNA is filed under the name Helianthus annuus (common sunflower). Its description in RNAcentral is "hypothetical non coding rna". Lineage: Eukaryota; Viridiplantae; Streptophyta; Magnoliopsida; Asterales; Asteraceae. The record is from RNAcentral.